This 327-nucleotide ribosomal RNA is filed under the name uncultured eukaryote. RNAcentral describes it as "partial 18S ribosomal RNA". It matches the Rfam family "Eukaryotic small subunit ribosomal RNA", at positions 1470 to 1796 of the family's 1831-position model. The record is from RNAcentral.
CCCUUAGAUGUUCUGGGCCGCACGCGCGCUACACUGACGAAUGCAACGAGCUUAUAACCUUGGCCGAAAGGUCUGGGUAAUCUCCAAAUUUCGUCGUGAUGGGGAUAGAUUAUUGCAAUUAUUAAUCUUCAACGAGGAAUGCCUAGUAAGCGCAAGUCAUCAGCUUGCGUUGAUUACGUCCCUGCCCUUUGUACACACCGCCCGUCGCUCCUACCGAUUGAAUGGUCCGGUGAAGUGCUCGGACCGCGGCCUCUUGACGGUUUUCCGUCGAUUGGCUGUGGGAAGUUCGUUAAACCUUAUCAUUUAGAGGAAGGAGAAGUCGUAACA